AAUUUUGGUCAAUGGUGGAGACCCUGACCCAGCCAGGCCUCUUUAUUUAAUAAGGCCUUCGGUUUGUAAAUAACUUUUGGCAGAAAAAAAAAGGUACCUCCUAAUACGAGGUACUGCUGACGGUAGCUGCAGAUGAUGUACCGGCUAACGCCGUGCCAGCAACCGCGGAAAGAUGUAGGGUGCAAGCGUUAAUCGGAAUUACUGGGCGUAAAGCGUGUGUAGGCGGUUCGGAAAGAAAGAUGUGAAAUCCCAGGGCUCAACCUUGGAACGGCAUUUUUAACUGCCGAGCUAGAGUAUGUCAGAGGGGGGUAGAAUUCCACGUGUAGCAGUGAAAUGCGUAGAUAUGUGGAGGAAUACCGAUGGCGAAGGCAGCCCCCUGGGAUAAUACUGACGCUCAGACACGAAAGCGUGGGGAGCAAACAG
RNAcentral lists this ribosomal RNA (423 nucleotides) under uncultured bacterium. Its description in RNAcentral is "partial 16S ribosomal RNA". It matches the Rfam family "Bacterial small subunit ribosomal RNA", at positions 360 to 775 of the family's 1533-position model. The record is from RNAcentral.